AGUAGUAUGUAGAUAUCGGCAUAUCGCCAUAUUGGAUUAGCAGAUGGCAAGAUUUUCUACUGAUGGAAGUUACCGUACAUGUAAUGGUGCAGUGGAUGGGCUUCAAGCAAGAGGGUAUCUGCUGCCAUACUCUUCUGCAGUUACAAGAAGGCAUCAGUCAGUGCAAUCUUUGUUGCGUUGUACCACUCUUGUGGUGUUCGCAAGCUGAUGACUCUACAACGGUGGUCGUGGUCCGGAGAGCUUCAUCCUCAGUUUGUGCCGGCUGCGAUGGACGGUCACCAAGCUGCACCCCAUAGAGGCCAUCCAAAACGGUAGAAGGGUUUCUACCAUUCAGGGCUCCCAUCUGUCCUAAUCCUAUGUAAGGCGACGAAACGCUGCAAUCCACUUAUGCUCUUGAGCCCUGCAGAUAAGAUGCAGUUGAUUUCCUUUGAGCAACAACUACGCUCGUUCACCUCUCAAACUAA
Sorghum bicolor (sorghum) is the source of this 464-nucleotide long non-coding RNA. RefSeq lists it as uncharacterized. NCBI's taxonomy places the organism in Eukaryota, Viridiplantae, Streptophyta, Magnoliopsida, Poales, Poaceae. The record is from RefSeq and is a predicted model, not a curated record. The transcript has 2 exons.